This is a non-coding RNA of Drosophila virilis, 2738 nucleotides long. Lineage: Eukaryota; Metazoa; Arthropoda; Insecta; Diptera; Drosophilidae. The record is from RefSeq and is a predicted model, not a curated record.
UACUCGUCAGUACUGUUCAGACCUCUUAUUUCAUUUGACGGAAUCGUGUCGAGUGGAUAUUCAUAAUAAAUUCACUGACGUGGGCUUAUGUCUUUAAUUUUACAUACUAUACAUAUAUUGUGCAGCAGAAACAAAAAAUUUGUGUUACAUACUCUAGUGCUUUGUUAAAAGAAGAUAAUGACCGUAAACAAUUGCUUACAGUUUAGCCAAUGCUGGUGCUAAAAUUAUUGUAUACCAAACAUAGUUGAUAAUAGCAUCACAUUAGUUUGUAUAAUUUAUAAAAUUCAAUAACAGUGAUACUCAAAAAUUUCUUCACGGAAGAUUGAAAAGUUCAAAAGUGCACUAAUAAUGAAUAAAAUUCAACAAAUUUGAAAGUAACGCUUAGAGUAAAAAUUUUCGUAUGUCAGCAUCAAAUAUAACUAAAACAUCAUUUAAUGAACGCCGGUGCUUUCGAGCAAAACCUGAAGAAGAGGAAUCUAGUUUGGGUAAUGAAGCAGAUUUGGUUAUGAGUUUAUCUCAAAAAGACAUACUUAUACCCACAGCGGCUUCUCAGCAGCAGCAGUUGGAACCACUUUUAAAACAUAAUACAAACGAUACAUCAACACAGAACUCGGUUUCUGCGGCGGCCGCUGUCGCGGUUGCACAUCACCACCAUAGUCUGUCUAGUAUUCAACAUCUUCAGAACUUGCAUACCCAGCAUCACAGUACUAUAUUCAACAACAACCACUCAACUCCGUUUAGUGUGACUGAUAUUCUAAGUCCAAUAGAGGAAUCAUACCGCAAACUGGAAAUAAACGGUAACCCGCCAUCUCCAUUUCGGUCUAAUUCAAGUGGUAGUAGUAUUAACUCCCCUGGAGCAAUUAGUACUUCAACAAUGGCGAAUCCCUAUGCUAUGGGGUCAUUGUAUCAUAGUCCGGGAGUGCAAAGCUAUUGUGGACCUACAGAUAAUUUAUCAUUGGCAGGACACUACACGGAUAUGAGGGGCUCGGCUUCCUGGUAUGGAUCAACUGCAAACGAUCCCAGAUUUGCAAUAUCGCGGCUUAUGAGUUCAUCAGCUAGUGGAUCGAUGGGCCACAUGGGAAACAUGACAGGCUUAGCUGCAUGCAGCGUAAAUGAUGCAAAGCCCCUACAAUUUCCUUUGGCACAAAGACGAAAGAGAAGAGUUCUAUUUACACAAGCACAGGUUUAUGAGCUCGAGAGAAGAUUUAAGCAACAACGAUAUUUGUCGGCCCCUGAGCGAGAACAUUUAGCAAGUCUUAUUCACUUGACGCCCACACAACUUCGCUAGUCGCACGAGAAACCAGAAAAGACCAGAAUUUCGGCAAAAUUUCGCAAAUACUGGAGAUACAGGCCAAUGUAUUACAAGAAAUAAAUACAAAUCACCAGAGGGCAAGUAUGAGAUAUCGUAUGGCUACAUUUUUCGAACAUCGUGUGAUAAUCCCGACUAAGCUUCAAAAAUUGAUCUUGGACUACACAGGGCCCACUUGGGUAUAGUUAAAAUUAAGAGUAUAGCACGCUCUUUCGUGUAUUGGCCAGGAAUCGAUAAGGGCAUCAAAAAUGCGGCAAGAACAUGCUAGUUCUGUGAAAAACAUGCUCCGAUCACUAUCGAGAAUACCGUCAGUUGCCUUGGGGCGCAUUCACAUCGACUUCGCUGGCCCAUUUGAAGGUGUGGCAUUCCCCUUAUCCGAAAUGUUCAAAUGGUAAAAAGUGCGCUUCAGGUAAUGGAAACAACACUCAACACACUAAAAUGAAACGAAAAGGAAUUAUUGCAACAAAGUAGAAACGCACCGGGCAGCACAACUGGUGAAUCUCCAGCGACGUACACGACUGGAUUUAAUUAGACCAGAAACCAUCAAGGAAAAUGUACCAGCAAAAAAAUAUUAAAAAUGCAAGCAAACCGGCAAUUUGAGAUUACAGAAUACAUUCAUUGUUUUAGAAAUUUUUAGAUGUUUGGGGACCAUCAUUAUGAAAUUCGACACAUCAAUAAAUGCCACAAAAGACAUAUCAACCAGACCCGAGAUAGAGGGUUGAAGCAGGAGGACAGCAACAACAAAACAUAGAGGGAAGGAAUCCAGAAAGUACUUUUUACUAAACACCAGUAAACAUCAGCAAAACUAGCAGAUCAGAGACCAAGAGAGUACAGCAUUGGAUCAGAUCUAACUAACGACAGUAGACAGGACAGUCAGGCCGUCGAAAACGCUAACUUCAGUACACCGAAAGCUUCGCGCACAGUUGGAAAUAAAAGUUCACUAAAUCAAGAUGUACUGAUCUCAGCACCAAGGGGAUCGUCAACACCUAUAGAAACACCAAUGCGAACAGAGCAAAGUGUACGUCACUUGACUCGAGUUCAUAACCCAAGAAUGGUAUUCUUACUAUGCUAAUCAUCAGCUGAGAUUAUGCUGUUCCCACAGCUUAUUUGGCGUGGACAAAAAUUAUGUAACACUGUUUCACUCCGAUGAAACUUUGAACUAAUCGAAUUUGAGCGUGCUUAGGGUGCAAAAUUUCAAAUAUCUAAAUAUUAUAUUUCCCAGGAAUAGCGCGGAUAAAAAGAUAAACGGAAAUGCAUGAAUCGACUCGACUAUAAGCUUUAUAUAGACAUAAAAUUUUGUUUCAAAUCAUCAAUAACUUGCUCGUUUCCAUGCAAUUGAUGAAUAUCUUUAUCAAAAUCCUGUUAUUUUUUUUGGCAUUUUUCGUGUUUUAAGAAAUAGAGUCAAUAAAUUUAGUAUGUAUCUUGUAUA